This is a long non-coding RNA of Ficedula albicollis (Collared flycatcher), 682 nucleotides long. RefSeq lists it as uncharacterized. The transcript is spliced from 4 exons. NCBI's taxonomy places the organism in Eukaryota, Metazoa, Chordata, Aves, Passeriformes, Muscicapidae. The record is from RefSeq and is a predicted model, not a curated record.
CUUUUUGUUCUGUGCCUUUUCUAAUAGAGGUACAAAUGCCCAGAUCUUGCCUAAACUUGGAGCCAGGAGACAGCUGGAUGUGCAAUUUGAUCUGAGUAUGUGGAGAACCACCAGCUACAUAUGACCUGGGAGACCUAAGAAAAAGGACUAGAUAUCCUCUUGUCUUCUGUUCUACCUCCAGGAAUCACAGUAACAAGGUUUCCAUGAGGCCAAAUGGAAAGUAAAUGUUGAUCUCAACUUCCAGAACUGCUGCAGGACUCUUACUACAAGAAAAUGCCAAAACUGACUGUGCCUUUAAAUAUGUCCAGUGAGGGAGACUUCAUAGGCUUCACAAAUGAUCUGGUCCAGCACUUUUCAACACAUUCUUAAUGUCCUGCAUUUGGUGAGCUUUUCAUGGCCCUGUUCUGGCUUCUCUGCUAUUGUUUGGAUUUUGCUUUGUGUUCUUCUUGAAUGUAUCAUCCAAAACUGAAAAAACCCAAAACCAUAAUAAUGCAGAUUUUUUAUCUACAUCUUUUAAACUGUUCCUGUGUUCAUAUGUCCCAAUAUGCUUUUCUUCCAAUGUCAGGAGCUUGUUAACUCAUGAUCAACUGGUAAGCCAAGUCAUAGGUCAUACCCAUGGAGGCUUGUUGUGAGGCAGUUGAUGCUCAUCACACAAUUGUGCAAUUAAACAUUCUCAUUUGAA